CUGUGCAAAGGUAGCAUAAUCAUUAGCUUUUUAAUUGAAGGCUUGUAUGAAGGGUCUGACAAAGAAAAAGCUGUCUUUAGUUUUAUUUUUUGAAUUUAACUUUUAAGUGAAAAGGCUUAAAUAUGUUUAAGGGACGAUAAGACCCUAUAAAUCUUUAUAUUAAGUUUAUUUUCUUGAAUUUAAAUGAUUUGUCUAGAUUUUGUCAAGUAAAAAUAAUAAAUAUUUUGUUGGGGUGAUGAGAAUAUAAAAAUAACUGUUCUAGAAAAAAAAACAGAGUUGUUUGUUUAUUUAUAAUAGAUCCUUUUUAAAGAUUAAGAGUUUAAGUUACUUUAGGGAUAACAGCGUUAUUUUUUUUGAGAGUUCUUAUCGAAAAAAAAGUUUGCGACCUCGAUGUUGAAUUAAAAUAUCUUUAUGGUGUAGUAGUUAUAGAAGAGAGUCUGUUCGACUUUUAAAUUUUU
RNAcentral lists this ribosomal RNA (458 nucleotides) under Paramunida pronoe. RNAcentral's name for it is "partial 16S ribosomal RNA". It matches the Rfam family "Bacterial large subunit ribosomal RNA", at positions 1946 to 2597 of the family's 2925-position model. The record is from RNAcentral. Lineage: Eukaryota; Metazoa; Arthropoda; Malacostraca; Decapoda; Munididae.